Molecule: transfer RNA, 73 nt
Filed under: Alkalibaculum bacchi
Lineage: Bacteria; Bacillati; Bacillota; Clostridia; Eubacteriales; Eubacteriaceae
Also listed under: 1 other name
Rfam family: tRNA
About the family: Transfer RNA (tRNA) molecules are approximately 80 nucleotides in length.
Source: Rfam by way of RNAcentral
GAUUUCGUAGCUCAGCUGGGAGAGCGCCACCCUGACACGGUGGAGGUCGCUGGUUCAAGUCCAGUCGGAAUCA